UUUCGGAUCGUAAAACUCUGUUGUUAGGGAAGAACAAGUACCGGAGUAACUGCCGGUACCUUGACGGUACCUAACCAGAAAGCCACGGCUAACUACGUGCCAGCAGCCGCGGUAAUACGUAGGUGGCAAGCGUUGUCCGGAAUUAUUGGGCGUAAAGCGCGCGCAGGCGGUUCCUUAAGUCUGAUGUGAAAGCCCACGGCUCAACCGUGGAGGGUCAUUGGAAACUGGGGAACUUGAGUGCAGAAGAGAAGAGCGGAAUUCCACGUGUAGCGGUGAAAUGCGUAGAGAUGUGGAGGAACACCAGUGGCGAAGGCGGCUCU
This 320-nucleotide ribosomal RNA is filed under the name Bacillus thuringiensis. RNAcentral's name for it is "bacterial SSU rRNA". It matches the Rfam family "Bacterial small subunit ribosomal RNA", at positions 416 to 728 of the family's 1533-position model. The record is from RNAcentral. Lineage: Bacteria; Bacillati; Bacillota; Bacilli; Caryophanales; Bacillaceae.